CUAUAGAACCUUUUGUUCUAUCGAACCUUUUGUUCUAUCGAACAAAAGCGUCUAAAGACCAAAAGCGUCUA
RNAcentral lists this transfer RNA (71 nucleotides) under Tetradesmus obliquus. Its description in RNAcentral is "tRNA-Arg". The record is from RNAcentral. Lineage: Eukaryota; Viridiplantae; Chlorophyta; Chlorophyceae; Sphaeropleales; Scenedesmaceae.